This is a non-coding RNA of Pelobates cultripes (western spadefoot toad), 247 nucleotides long. NCBI's taxonomy places the organism in Eukaryota, Metazoa, Chordata, Amphibia, Anura, Pelobatidae. The record is from the annotation of a GenBank genome assembly.
GUUUGCAACGCACAGAGCCCAUGUGGCUCUGAAAAAUGGCCGCCGCGGCUCCAACAAAAUGGCUGCAAAAACAGAGCGCGGCCUACCGCGUGGUGAUCGUGCGGCACUGCCACGGUAGAAAAGGCUGCUCAGCAAGCGGCCAGGGGCCACAGGGACAGGUGGGGAACAAGGGAGAAGGGUAUGGGCGACAGAGCCCAGCAGGGGAACCUGGGGAGGGGGAACAGAUUACAGGCAGAGCCAAAGCAUC